GCCAGGUGCAGUGGCGCAUGCCUGUAGUCCCAGCUACUCAGGAGGCUGAGGUGGGAGGAUCACUUGAGCCCAGGAGUUCUGGGCUGUAGUGUGCUAUGCUGAUCAGGUGUCCACACUAAGUUCAGCAUCAAUAUGGUGACCUCCGGGGAUCACCAAGUUACCUAAGGAGGGGUGAACCGGCCCAGGUUGGAAAUGGAGCAGGUCAAAACUCCCAUGCUGAUCAGUAGUGGGAUCGCACCUGUGAAUAGCCACUGCACACCAGCCUGGGCAACAUAGCGAAACCCUGUCUCUA
Callithrix jacchus (white-tufted-ear marmoset) is the source of this 292-nucleotide unclassified non-coding RNA. It matches the Rfam family "Metazoan signal recognition particle RNA". From Rfam's summary of the family: The signal recognition particle (SRP) is a universally conserved ribonucleoprotein. The record is from Ensembl. NCBI's taxonomy places the organism in Eukaryota, Metazoa, Chordata, Mammalia, Primates, Cebidae.